This 97-nucleotide ribosomal RNA is filed under the name uncultured bacterium. RNAcentral describes it as "partial 16S ribosomal RNA". It matches the Rfam family "Bacterial small subunit ribosomal RNA", at positions 1386 to 1482 of the family's 1533-position model. The record is from RNAcentral.
CACUCCGCCCGUCACACCAUGGGAGUUGGUUUCACCCGAAGGCAGUGCGCUAACCGUAAGGAGGCAGCUGACCACGGUGGGAUCAGCGACUGGGGUG